This is a long non-coding RNA of Carassius carassius (crucian carp), 400 nucleotides long. RefSeq lists it as uncharacterized. NCBI's taxonomy places the organism in Eukaryota, Metazoa, Chordata, Actinopteri, Cypriniformes, Cyprinidae. The transcript is spliced from 4 exons. The record is from RefSeq and is a predicted model, not a curated record.
UAUUUAGCUUUCUUUUCUGAUUUUUGGUGCAUAGUGAGAAACGCAUAUUGGAGACAGAAAUCAGGCAGAAAGAAGAAGCCCUAUCCCAGAGGAAUAGCAGAGUGCAGGAGGAUUCAUUGGUUAAGUCCAGGAUGCCUAUGUUUAACUCUCAAGGCCUAAACAUAGACCCCUUCCAGAGAGAAGACCCCUUCAAUAAAGGCCAGUCCCUUCAGCAGAAGAGUCAGCCAGACAUCGAUGGGUCCCAAACCUAAAGAGUCAGACCCUUUUGCUGUGUCAGACCCAUUCGGUAGCGACUCUUUUGGAGGGAAAGGUGGUUUCGCUGAUUUCUAUCAAAUGUCAAAGGUAUGUUCAAAAGAGAAAUCUCCUAUAGUUCAUCCAGAUCAAUGCAAGCUCAACUCAU